UCCAGCUUAUCGCUGGCGGUCUCCUGCGAGUCCCCCCUUGCGGGAUGGCAACACAGGACAAGGGUUGCGCUCGUUGCGGGACUUAACCCAACAUCUCACGACACGAGCUGACGACAGCCAUGCAGCACCUCGACUCCACCCCCUUGCGGAGUAACGGUGUUUCCACCGCCGUUGGGAAGCCGUUCGAGCCCAGGUAAGGUUCUUCGCGUUGCGUCGAAUUGAACCACAUGCUCCACCGCUUGUGCGGGCCCCCGUCAAUUCCUUUGAGUUUCAGCCUUGCGACUGUACUCCCCAGGCGGCAUAUUUAACGCGUUAGCUCCGGCACAGAUCAACUGAAUGACCUACACCAAAUAUGCAUCGUUUAGGGCGUGGACUAC
This 377-nucleotide unclassified non-coding RNA is filed under the name uncultured Bryobacterales bacterium. RNAcentral describes it as "contains 16S-23S intergenic spacer region". Lineage: Bacteria; Pseudomonadati; Acidobacteriota; Terriglobia; Bryobacterales. The record is from RNAcentral.